UGACACCCAACGCCAGACACGAGAAUGGGGGACUCCAUGAGGGACACUAUUCAGGGGACCAAAGUAGAAAAAAGAAAAGGUAAUAGAGGACCCGACAAUGUGGGAACCUGCCAUACCGCACUGAAUCUCAGUAAGUGAAUAGCGAUAUGAGACAAGAAAUUAGCUAAUAUGAGAUUUUUGUCGAAAAUUUAGUAAAAGCUUUAAAGGCUCAGGGAGUAAAGGUUAACACUGAGCAAUUAUGUCAAUACUUUGAUUUUAUAAAAGAUGUUUGCCCUU
Cavia porcellus (domestic guinea pig) is the source of this 276-nucleotide regulatory RNA element. It matches the Rfam family "Mason-Pfizer monkey virus packaging signal". Rfam says of the family: The packaging signal is located in the 5' UTR and is required for specific RNA encapsidation. NCBI's taxonomy places the organism in Eukaryota, Metazoa, Chordata, Mammalia, Rodentia, Caviidae. The record is from Rfam.